This is a non-coding RNA of Phascolarctos cinereus (koala), 230 nucleotides long. Lineage: Eukaryota; Metazoa; Chordata; Mammalia; Diprotodontia; Phascolarctidae. The record is from RefSeq and is a predicted model, not a curated record.
CCUCAUUCAGGGGGCCAACUCCAAAUGGGAGGCUGCCCUGAAGGCAUCUCUACACAACAAGGAACACAACCUGGUUAGGAAAACCUGCCACAGGAUUCUGCAAUUUGUGUCAAAGGACCUGGCCUGAACACAGGAAUGGCAGUAACAAUUCAACAUCUAAUGUUUGGGAAAAGGACACUGUCAACCCAUACUUUUGACUACAAUAAUAAUAAAUAAAAUAAUAAAAUUUA